UAGGGAAGUUAAUUUUCUAUCAAAUUUACUGCAUCUCCCCCUUGCCCUCCCCCUCCCCCUCAAUCGUCGCUGCAAACUUUCCAACCCCCAACCGCCGGCCGCCACCGCCGGCACCGCGUAAUACCCCUGCUGUCGUGGCCUCCUUCACUAGCCCAGCGCCUCCACGAUUCACCCUCUCUCUCUCUCUCCACGAACGGUUGUUCGCCUCAAACUGCCGCACCCGCACAGCCCCAUCCGCCGUCGCUCGCCAGCUCGCCGUCCGCCACCAUUACUGUCGGCAUCAGCAUCGCACUACUGUUGCCGGCACACUCACGCUCGGUGAUGGCUCGGCUCCAGUAUUGGCUUCAAGGAGGACGACAAGCUCAUUUUAUCGGAUCCUUCUAUUCCAAGACCAAAGCAUUGGUCUUUGCAUUUCUUCUGCUAAUUUUCUUGGUGACUCGGGCAGAUUCACUACAACAAAAUCAACCUUUGGGGAUGCUUUUAUGAGGACUAUAUCAGGUUAAGAGUCCUAUUUUGUAUUUAAUAGGACUCUUGUUCAAAACUAUCUUAUCUAAUCUUCUCACUACUAUGAAUUAUACCUAUUUCUAUGUUGCCAAUGCAGUGAAAUAGGUUAUGGUACCAGACAUGGAACCUAAAGUUUUUAAGGUGAGUGGAUGUUAUAGAUUUAAUCUGCUCUUUUUGGAUCUAGCGGAGUAAUUAUCUUACCUAAUAGAUAGCUUUUGCAUUUUGGUGACUUGUUAUUUCUGCACUUUCUGUUCAUUUCCAUAAUGGGGAAUGUGUAAUACAUGCUAAUUUUCUUUGAUUCACAACAUGCGCUGCUACACUUUAUCUACAGAGAUGCCUUGGCUGAAAAUGAGCUGAUAGCAUCUAGUUCUUGUUCUACUCCUUUGGUAGCUGACACCUUAACUGCGAAAUUGCUAGUUGCAGCUGAUCAUUAUGACUUAGAAAGACUCAAAAGUAUAUGUGAAUCUCAUAUGUGCAAAGAUAUAUAUAUGGCGUCGCUCCACCGCCGUCGUCACCCUUGCUGGACUCUGUUUCUCACAAGCUUUUAAUAAUCAAAAUCUUCGACCUAAAUCAGCGAGCUGGGUGCCAUGGUAGCUCAUUAGCUGUUAUGAAGAAAUCAUCGAAGUUUCUACUUUUUUCCUCAAUAUUUUACUCUUAAGAAGAAGUCGAUGAAGUUCGGAGAGAGGGGGCUGAGUUUGUAUAUUAAUUUGUUGAUAAGAGCGAUGAUGAAGGUUCAAACUAGUUGGAUGGUUGAUUUGUUGGAUGAUUGGUGGUGAAUGAAGGCGUAACUAGUUGGAGAUUUUAUUAGAGCUUUUUUUUAGUAGAUAAAUGAAGGCGUAUUAGAGACGAUAAUUGUGAAUGUGAAUAUUAGUGGUUUAUAAGUAUUGUUUAAUUAUAAGUGGUUUAUGAUUAUUGCUUGAUUGUUUGAUAUUUAA
Salvia miltiorrhiza (redroot sage) is the source of this 1439-nucleotide long non-coding RNA. RefSeq lists it as uncharacterized. The transcript has 5 exons. Lineage: Eukaryota; Viridiplantae; Streptophyta; Magnoliopsida; Lamiales; Lamiaceae. The record is from RefSeq and is a predicted model, not a curated record.